ACAGUGAACCCGAGCGAGAAGCCGCGCGGCUGCCUCCCCAAAUACCUUGCCUUUCUCUUCUCUCCCCCUCGCCUCUCUCUCUCUCUCCCUUUGGCCUCCUCUUCCAUCAUGGCUGUCUGCCACCACCACCACCACCUCCUCCCCCUCCACCACCGUUAUCGGAUCCGCUCCUCCUUCUGCCCCUCCCCUCUGCUUCCAUUCCGCAAGCCACUCUCCGCCACGUUCCCCCUCCCUAAGCCACGGCUCCGCCUUCCGCAGCUGGUCCCGCGCCCCCUCCGCCUCCAGCCAAGGGCCUCCGCGAAGGCGGCGGGGGAGGCUGAAACCUCAGAGCGGCAGCGGCCGGUGGGAGGUAAGCGGACUGACAUCAAGAAGAUCAUGAUUCUGGGGGCGGGGCCCAUCGUGAUCGGGCAGGCGUGCGAGUUCGACUACUCCGGCACGCAAGCGUGCAAGGCUCUGGUGGACGAGGGAUAUGAGGUGGUGCUCGUCAACUCCAAUCCGGCCACUAUCAUGACCGACCCCGACCUCGCCCACCGCACCUACGUGGGCCCCAUGACCCCGGAGCUCGUCGAGCAGAUCAUCGACGCCGAGCGCCCCGACGCCCUUCUCCCCACCAUGGGCGGCCAGACCGCCCUUAACCUCGCAGUCGCCCUCGCGGAUUCAGGCGCCCUUGCCCGCCAUGGCAUCGAGCUCAUCGGCGCGAAGCUUAAAGCUAUCAAAACCGCGGAGGACCGCGACCUCUUCAAGCGUGCCAUGGAUCGCAUCGGCCUCCGCACUCCACCCUCCGGCAUCGGCAACACCUUGGAAGAGUGCCUUGCUGUUGCCGAUGACAUCGGUGGAUUCCCCCUCAUCAUUCGCCCCGCCUUCACCCUUGGUGGCACAGGCGGUGGCAUCGCCUACAACCGCGAUGAGUUUGAGGCUAUCUGCCGCGCCGGGCUCGCUGCCAGUCUUACGACCCAGGUCCUCGUGGAAAAAUCACUCCUUGGGUGGAAGGAGUACGAGCUGGAGGUAAUGCGUGACCUGGCCGACAAUGUGGUGAUCAUCUGCUCGAUUGAGAACAUCGAUCCCAUGGGUGUUCACACGGGGGAUUCAAUCACUGUGGCGCCAGCGCAAACGCUCACGGACAAGGAGUACCAGAGACUCAGGGACUACUCUGUGGCCAUCAUCAGGGAAAUUGGGGUGGAGUGUGGGGGAUCCAACGUGCAAUUUGCAGUAAAUCCGGUGGACGGAGAGGUGAUGAUUAUUGAGAUGAAUCCAAGGGUGUCACGGUCAUCUGCCCUUGCUUCAAAGGCGACGGGCUUUCCCAUUGCCAAGAUGGCUGCUAAGCUGUCUGUAGGUUACACGCUUGAUCAGAUUCCAAAUGAUAUUACAAAGAAGACACCGGCUAGUUUCGAGCCCUCCAUCGAUUAUGUGGUAACAAAGAUUCCACGUUUUGCUUUUGAGAAAUUCCCUGGUUCAGAACCAAUCUUAACAACCCAGAUGAAAUCUGUUGGUGAGGCAAUGGCACUUGGGAGGACUUUCCAAGAAUCCUUCCAGAAGGCAGUUCGAUCAUUGGAGUCUGGGUACUCUGGCUGGGGUUGUGCACCCAUUAAGGAACUCAACUGGGACUGGGAUCAGUUAAAGUACAGCAUGCGAGUUCCAAAUCCAGAUCGUAUGCAUGCCAUAUAUGCAGCAAUUAAGAAAGGAAUGAAGGUAGAGGAAAUUCAUGAGCUGAGCUUCAUUGACAAGUGGUUCCUUACUCAACUCAAGGAGCUAGUGGAUGUGGAACAGUUCCUCCUGUCACAGACACUGGACCAGCUGACAAAGCAUGACUUCUAUGAAGUUAAAAGGAGGGGCUUUAGUGAUAGGCAGAUUGCUUAUGCAACUUCUUCCUCGGAGAGUGACGUCCGAUCAAGGCGCUUGUCACUAGGUGUGACCCCAGCAUAUAAAAGGGUUGACACCUGUGCUGCAGAGUUCGAGGCAAACACUCCCUACAUGUACUCCUCUUAUGAUUUUGAAUGUGAAUCAGCUCCCACUCCAAAGAAAAAGGUGUUGAUAUUGGGGGGUGGACCUAACCGUAUUGGCCAGGGUAUUGAGUUUGAUUACUGCUGCUGUCAUGCUUCUUUUGCCCUUAAAGAGAAUGGAUAUGAGACAAUCAUGAUGAACUCAAAUCCAGAGACUGUAUCCACUGAUUACGAUACCAGCGAUCGACUAUACUUUGAACCUUUGACCGUUGAGGAUGUUCUGAAUGUGAUUGACUUAGAGCGGCCAAAUGGUAUUAUUGUACAGUUUGGUGGGCAAACUCCUUUAAAGCUUGCUCUCCCCAUACAGCAGUAUCUUGAAGAACAAAAGUUGGUAGCUUCCACUGGGACAGGGCAUGUGCAAAUUUGGGGAACAUCACCUGAUUCCAUUGAUGCUGCAGAAGAUAGAGAACGAUUUAAUGCAAUUCUCGAUAAUCUCAAGAUUGAGCAACCUAAAGGGGGCAUAGCAAAGAGUGAAUCAGAUGCCAUAUCGAUUGCGAGUAAAAUUGGUUACCCUGUUGUAGUCAGACCUUCUUAUGUCUUGGGUGGACGUGCGAUGGAAAUUGUUUACAGUGAUGAUAAACUUAGCAAAUACCUUGAGAAUGCAGUAGAAGUUGAUCCUGAGCGCCCUGUGUUGAUAGAUAAAUAUCUCACAGAUGCCAUCGAAAUUGAUGUGGAUGCAUUGGCUGACUCAAAUGGGAACGUGGUAAUUGGUGGUAUCAUGGAGCACAUUGAGCAGGCAGGUGUUCAUUCGGGUGACUCAGCCUGUUUGCUUCCUACAAAAACUGUGUCAAAUAAGUGCCUGGAUACAAUUCGCCAGUGGACAAUCAAGCUGGCCAAAAAACUUGAUGUAUGCGGGCUUAUGAAUUGCCAAUAUGCAAUUACUGCUUCUGGUGAUGUAUACCUUCUUGAAGCCAAUCCACGUGCUUCUCGCACUGUCCCUUUUGUUUCUAAAGCUAUUGGACACCCCUUGGCAAAAUAUGCAUCUCUUGUCAUGUCUGGGAAAAACUUACAUGAACUUGGAUUUACAAAAGAGGUGGUGCCUAGGCAUGUGUCAGUCAAGGAGGCCGUACUUCCAUUCGAGAAAUUCCAAGGAUGUGAUGUUCUUCUUGGCCCAGAGAUGCGUAGCACUGGAGAAGUUAUGGGAAUUGACUUUGACUUCCAUGUGGCUUUUGCCAAGGCACAGAUUGCUGCCGGACAGCAGCUUCCAGCUAGUGGUACAGUCUUUCUCAGCCUAAAUGACUUGACAAAGCCACACCUUGCUUCAAUCGCUCGUGGAUUCCUAGAACUUGGUUUCAAAAUUGUUGCAACUUCUGGGACGGCUCGUGUGCUUGAAUUGGAGGGUAUACCGGUGGAGGUUGUUCUUAAGAUGCAUGAGGGGAGACCUCAUGCAGGGGAUAUGCUAGCAAAUCGUGAAAUACAAGCUAUGGUGAUAACAAGUUCUGGUGAUGCUCUAGAUUCAAUUGAUGGAAGGCAGCUGAGGAGGAUGGCGCUGGCGUACAAGAUCCCAAUUAUAACAACAGUUGCCGGGGCAUUAGCUACUGUGGAAGCUAUUAAGAGCUUGAAACAUAGCUCUAUCAAGAUGCUAGCGUUGCAGGACUACUUUACUGUUUCAGAUGAGCAUCCGAAGUUGCAGGCGGCAUCAUCUGCCAUUUAGCCGUGUUUUUCUUUUAUAUAGAGGGUUGCAGCUGCAUUGAAUCAACAUACUAGAUGUGAUGUUGGCAGUCUUGUUAGACUGAACUGCCAUCACUAGUGCUGAAAGAAAUGUGCUGGCUGGAUUUGUGUAUACAACUCAUCAAGCUUUUUGUGAGAUCUACAUGAAGUUGCAAACCCAAAAGCCAAAUGUAGGGCGCUUUUGCACCGAGGGGUUUCAGUCUAACAUGAUAAAAAAUGGAAAUGAAAAGAUUAUGUAAACAGAACGGGCAAUGUUGGUACAAAAUCUCCUACAUGAUCAGCCCCAGUUACUGUUACAUUUGAUGGCAGAUUCAGUUGCAUGACAUGGCAGUAGAGUGUAGAACCAACAGGUAGGUUUCUUCCCCUGCAUGCAAUCCCAGAGUUCUUAUUCCGUGGAGAUCUAGUGUUAGCUUCGAGGCGUGCCACCAAUCAAGCAAUCACCUCUUGAAUUUGGGAAGGGUAAGACAGACUGUGGGGGUCGGAAUGCC
Molecule: RNA transcript, 4159 nt
Organism: Musa acuminata AAA Group (dessert banana)
Lineage: Eukaryota; Viridiplantae; Streptophyta; Magnoliopsida; Zingiberales; Musaceae
Gene name: carbamoyl phosphate synthase arginine-specific large chain, chloroplastic-like
Exons: 6
Source: RefSeq, a predicted model, not a curated record